GGCCCUUUGGCCCAAUGGUAAGGCGUCUGACUACGACUAAACAUGAAAAACCAUGUUGGCAAGUUAUCAGGAGAUUCUGGGUUCGAGCCCCAGGAGGGUCA
This 101-nucleotide transfer RNA is filed under the name Hypoxylon sp. FL1150. Its description in RNAcentral is "tRNA-Arg". It matches the Rfam family "tRNA". Rfam says of the family: Transfer RNA (tRNA) molecules are approximately 80 nucleotides in length. Their secondary structure includes four short double-helical elements and three loops (D, anti-codon, and T loops). Lineage: Eukaryota; Fungi; Ascomycota; Sordariomycetes; Xylariales; Hypoxylaceae. The record is from RNAcentral.